RNAcentral lists this ribosomal RNA (451 nucleotides) under uncultured bacterium. Its description in RNAcentral is "bacterial SSU rRNA". It matches the Rfam family "Bacterial small subunit ribosomal RNA", at positions 28 to 524 of the family's 1533-position model. The record is from RNAcentral.
GACGAACGCUGGCGGCAGGCCUAACACAUGCAAGUCGAACGCUCGUAGCAAUACGAGAGUGGCAGACGGGUGAGUAACACGUGGGAACCUUCCCUAUGGUUCGGAAUAGCUCAGGGAAACUUGGGGUAAUACCGGAUAAGCCCUUCGGGGAAGGAUUUAUCGCCAUUGGAUGGGCCCGCGUCGGAUUAGCUAGUUGGUGAGGUAACGGCUCACCAAGGCAACGAUCCGUAGCUGGUCNGAGAGGAUGAUCAGCCACACUGGGACUGAGACACGGCCCAGACUCCUACGGGAGGCAGCAGUGGGGAAUAUUGGACAAUGGGCGCAAGCCUGAUCCAGCCAUGCCGCGUGAGUGACGAAGGUCUUCGGAUUGUAAAACUCUUUUGGCGGGGACGAUAAUGACGGUACCCGCAGAAUAAGCCCCGGCUAACUUCGUGCCAGCCGCCGCAGUAAU